This 564-nucleotide ribosomal RNA is filed under the name uncultured archaeon. RNAcentral's name for it is "partial 16S ribosomal RNA". It matches the Rfam family "Archaeal small subunit ribosomal RNA", at positions 524 to 1066 of the family's 1478-position model. The record is from RNAcentral.
GUUGAAUUUCUAAAUUUUUGGAAUCCACACUUAACUGUGGGGCCAAAGAAAUCUGAGAUUUAGAACCGGAGGGGUAAGAGUAUUCAGGGUGAGUGAAAUUUUGUAACCUGAGGCCACCGAUGAGGAAGGCAUUUACCAGAAGGUUCUCAUUUGGUAUGGAAAAAAGGGAACGACCGGCCUCCCAUACCCCGUAGAAACAGCCGUAAACUAUGCUCUUGGGGGACCCAGGAACCCCCCUUACCAAGUGCGGGGGUAACCGUGAAACGUGCCGCCUUUUUUCUGCUUCCGCCUGGCUGAAGCUUAAAGGAAUUGGCGGGGGAGCACCACAACGGGUGGAGCUUGCGGUUUAAUUAGGCUCGGCGCCGGGCAGCUCACCGGAUAGGACAGCGGAAUGAUAGCCGGGCUGAAGACCUUGCUUGACCAGCUGAGAGGAAGACAUGGCCGUCGUCAUUCUUUCCUCUUAAGCAAAAGAAAAACAGGCAACCACGAGACACAAAAACGGAUUCUUCCCUUUUCCCCGAGGCUUUCAUCUUGCUUCCCAUAGGAGUCGUAUAGCGCUGGUUA